AACGAACGCUGGCGGCAGGCCUAACACAUGCAAGUCGAGCGAGAAAGCACCUUCGGGUGUUAUUAAAGCGGCAGACGGGUGCGUAACACGUGGGAAUCUACCUAGUUCUAAGGAAUAGCCAUUGGAAACGAUGAUUAAUACCUUAUGUGCCCUACGGGGUAAGGAUUUAUCGGAAUUAGAUGAGCCCGCGCCUGAUUAGUUUGUUGGUGGGGUAAAGGCCUACCAAGACUACGAUCAGUAGCUGAUCUUAGAGGAUGAUCAGCCACACUGGAACUGAGACACGGUCCAG
RNAcentral lists this ribosomal RNA (289 nucleotides) under uncultured bacterium. RNAcentral describes it as "partial 16S ribosomal RNA". It matches the Rfam family "Bacterial small subunit ribosomal RNA", at positions 29 to 334 of the family's 1533-position model. The record is from RNAcentral.